This 863-nucleotide long non-coding RNA is filed under the name Gallus gallus (chicken). RNAcentral describes it as "lncRNA (ENSGALG00010009445.1)". The record is from RNAcentral. Lineage: Eukaryota; Metazoa; Chordata; Aves; Galliformes; Phasianidae.
GACAUAUAUUUUCUGUUACACUGUUGCCUUAGCGCUAAGAUUUCUUUGAUUUUCUGCUGGCAGCUUUACCACCCAGUGGAGAUGUCCUCAAGCGUUCACCAUUGCUGCCUUUCCUGCUAAGAAAAUAGAAUUUGCAUGUGUUUCAAUACUUUCUGGAAUCCUACCUUCCAUAUGCAGUCUAGGUCAGUAAAAUGGUGACUUUUGCCUACCAUACUGACCUAUGAUGCUGGAAACUGCAAGAGACAACUUUGUUGGUUCAGUGGUGGAAAAUUUGGCAUGGGAUAUCUGGCACAGCAAAUACACGUCUGCUUGUUAAGGUUAAAACUGUCUAUUUUUGAAAUGGUAAAGACAAGGAGUGGACACUUCUUCCUGACAUUUAAAUAAGGAUGUGUCACAGAAGAGGCAAGAACAGAAAAUUCCAACAAAGACAAAAGAAAUAAACAUCGUAAAUAUGUUGUGCUCUUUAAUGUUGGCAUCGUUUUCAGACUUGUGUUAGGUGAAAAUGAAUGUUUUUGAUCUUCUAUCAAAGGUUUACCUUGAAAAUACAGAUGAAAGAUAAACAUCAUUAGUCCACUCUGAUCUCACUUCAGUGCUCUUUUUUUCCAUGUGCCCAUCAGAUUGUCUCAUUGUUUUUGAUUUUUUUUUUUAAAUCUGAUUUUCUGUUUAUCUGAAUAGCUGCUAAAUUCUUUGAUCUAUUUUUGUUGGACUUGCAAGGAACUUCAGAACUUCUGUGAAAGCAAGACAGAGAGAAGCAAUGUGUUUCACCUCUACUUUUUGUUGCUUCCAUUUGGAUAUUGGGAAGUCUUUGUGUAGAGAAUAAAUGAUAUAAGGUAUAGGGUAGUGAAAUCUCAUUUAAAAUAAAU